RNAcentral lists this ribosomal RNA (253 nucleotides) under uncultured bacterium. RNAcentral describes it as "partial 16S ribosomal RNA". It matches the Rfam family "Bacterial small subunit ribosomal RNA", at positions 524 to 776 of the family's 1533-position model. The record is from RNAcentral.
UACGAAGGGUGCAAGCGUUACUCGGAAUUACUGGGCGUAAAGCGUGCGUAGGCGGUUCGUUAAGUCUGUCGUGAAAGCCCUGGGCUCAACCUGGGAAUUGCGAUGGAUACUGGCGAGCUAGAGUACGGUAGAGGAUGGUGGAAUUCCCGGUGUAGCGGUGAAAUGCGUAGAGAUCGGGAGGAACACCCGUGGCGAAGGCGGCCAUCUGGACUAGUACUGACGCUGAGGCACGAAAGCGUGGGGAGCAAACAGG